Molecule: ribosomal RNA, 492 nt
Filed under: uncultured bacterium
Lineage: Bacteria
Description: partial 16S ribosomal RNA
Rfam family: Bacterial small subunit ribosomal RNA
Source: RNAcentral
AGUGAACGCUGGCGGCAGGCCUAACACAUGCAAGUCGAACGGCAGCACAGUAAGAGCUUGCUCUUACGGGUGGCGAGUGGCGGACGGGUGAGGAAUACAUCGGAAUCUACUUUUUCGUGGGGGAUAACGCAGGGAAACUUACGCUAAUACCGCAUACGACCUACGGGUGAAAGCAGGGGAUCUUCGGACCUUGCGCGAUUGAAUGAGCCGAUGUCGGAUUAGCUAGUUGGCGGGGUAAAGGCCCACCAAGGCGACGAUCCGUAGCUGGUCUGAGAGGAUGAUCGGCCACACUGGAACUGAGACACGGUCCAGACUCCUACGGGAGGCAGCAGUGGGGAAUAUUGGACAAUGGGCGCAAGCCUGAUCCAGCCAUACCGCGUGGGUGAAGAAGGCCUUCGGGUUGUAAAGCCCUUUUGUUGGGAAAGAAAAGCAGCAGGUUAAUACCCCGCUGUUCUGACGGUACCCAAAGAAUAAGCACCGGCUAACUUCGUG